CAAAGACGAUACCGAUUUGGACGUGUGUGUUGAAUCGUGCAAUCAGGAAUUAUAGAACGAGAUUUGGUUUGAAUGGCAGUGCAGAAAAGAAUGAGUCAAAUGAUUGCGCUGAAUGUGGUAAUACUAUUAAUGAGGACUCAUAUAACUGGGAUUGUUCCUUGCAUCUCCCUUUGUGGGUCUCAAAUACUGAAAGAGUGCUUAUUGAGGAGCGUUUAGACGGGUGGACCAAGGAUCUGGAGGUCAGUGGAGCUGACAUUG
Molecule: unclassified non-coding RNA, 258 nt
Filed under: Hevea brasiliensis (rubber tree)
Lineage: Eukaryota; Viridiplantae; Streptophyta; Magnoliopsida; Malpighiales; Euphorbiaceae
Source: RNAcentral